Molecule: ribosomal RNA, 226 nt
Filed under: uncultured bacterium
Lineage: Bacteria
Description: partial 16S ribosomal RNA
Rfam family: Bacterial small subunit ribosomal RNA
Source: RNAcentral
UGCCAGCAGCCGCGGUAAUACGUAGGGUGCAAGCGUUAAUCGGAAUUACUGGGCGUAAAGCGUGCGCAGGCGGUUCGGAAAGAAAGGUGUGAAAUCCCAGGGCUUAACCUUGGAACUGCACUUUUAACUACCGGGCUAGAGUAUGUCAGAGGGGGGUAGAAUUCCACGUGUAGCAGUGAAAUGCGUAGAGAUGUGGAGGAAUACCGAUGGCGAAGGCAGCCCCCUG